This 1781-nucleotide long non-coding RNA is filed under the name Cricetulus griseus (Chinese hamster). RNAcentral's name for it is "lncRNA (ENSCGRG00015040442.1)". The record is from RNAcentral. Lineage: Eukaryota; Metazoa; Chordata; Mammalia; Rodentia; Cricetidae.
CAACAACCUUAUUCUUAUAAAAUGUAUUUACUUAUAGACAGUGUCUUACAUAUCCCAAGUUGGCCUCCACAUUCAUAUGUAACUGAGAAUGACCUUGAACUCCUGAUCUCCUGAGUGCUGGGAUCAUGGGUUCGGGUACCGCAUUCAGUUUAUGCAGUGUGGGGUGUCAAACCCAGGCCUUUACUUCUUUUCUGAUUACAUUCACUUGUGCAUGUGUUUAUGUCCAUGCAUGUGCCAUGGGGCACUUAUGGAGGUUGGAAGACAACUUUAUUGUGGGAGCUGGUUCUCUCCUUCCACCAUAUAGGACCUGGGUAUUGAACUCAGGGGGUCAUGCCUAACCCUAACCCUCUGAGCCAUCUCACUGGCCCUGAACUGAAGCUUGAUAUGCAUGCUUGGAGAGCACUCUACCAGCGGAAAUUCUCCCAGCCUUGAGUAAAUUUGCUCUUUUAAGUGAAUUAUUGUUACCCAUGAAGACGAUGCUGGAGAAGAUAUCUUGCCAAAAGUAAACAGUCGUUAGUGUGCAUGAGAACCAGGGCUCUAUGUUACUUCAUCAAUCCACUGCUCUCCCUGGCAAAUGCUAUCUAUUCUUCUGAGAAAAGAAAAGGCAGUUGUCAUCAGCCCAGCCCUAUGUGCCAGGCUCUAUUUGUCAUCUCAGCCAGGAAUGGUGGCAUAUACCUUUGAUCCCAGCGCUCUGAGGCCAGGCUGGUCUACAUAAUCCUGGAAUCUGACUUCAGGAGAGAUGCUAAUAGACUCCCCAGAGUCACUGCCAAGGACUAUGCUGCCUAAGACUGAAUAGCCGCUCAGCCUCUGCUACCAGAGCAACCAGCACCCACAGCCGGGCAUAGAGACGGAGCUGCUCAGCUCAAGGCUACCAGUCUGCUGACCUUUACAGAGACAGGCUCUUCGGGAACACUCUCACUUUUGACUCUCACCAAAGGAUGCCCCUUUGCUUCCUGUAAAAACAAGAGGAUGGAAUAACUUGAUUUCAAAUAACACUGUAGGUCAUAGUAUUUAUACGUGUAGUGUGCCUGUUACCCCAGGGGGCUGCUGUGUACACAUGGAUGUGGAAAUUCUGUGUGGUGCCACCCUUAAGGGCUCAGAGUGGGCAGAGAUGGACUGAGUCUCAUUGGGCAGAGGUGGAAAUCAGUAUAUAUAUAUGUAAUCUACACACACACACACACACACACACACACACACACACACACACACACCCCAUGCAUGUACACACCCAACAACAAGUCCCAAUUUCAACAGAUGCAAAAAAAAAAAAAAAAAAAAAACGAACAAAAACAUCAACACACCCUUUUAGGAGAGAAACACUAAGGAUUAGAAAGUCACUUCCUGAACCAGGUUCCCUGAACGUGGCUUGGGCAGUCUCUGGGGUCACUGGUAGUGGAACCAGUGUUUAUCUCUAGUGCAUGAACUGGCUUUUUGGAGCCCACUCCCUAUGCAGGGAUACCUUGUUCAGUCUAGAUACAGGAAGAAGGGCCUCACCUCAGUCCUGCUCUAAAUGAUGUGACAGACUUUGAUGAUCCCCCAAGGGAAGCCUCACCCUCUCUGAGGAUGAGGGGUGGGAUGGGGAGAUGGGGGGGAGUGUGAGGAUGGGAGGGAGAGGGAAAUGGGAUUGGUAUGUUAAAUAUGAUUGUUUUAAAAAUAAAAAAAGAAAGGGGCUUCCCAAUCUAAGAUGUGUACCGGCCAUGCACAACGAACAUAGUUGACAGUGAAAGAUGAACAAAGACACCCAAGCUCAAAACUUCUGUUUGACACUGUUCUUUCUGCAG